UGCAGUCGAACGAGGUAGCAAUACCUAGUGGCGCACGGGCGAGGAACACGUAGAUAAUCUGCCCUAAGCUGGGGGAUAACCAGUCGAAAGACUGGCUAAUACCGCAUAAGACCACAAGAUCUGCGGAUCAAGGGGUUAAAGGAGCAAUUCGGCAUAGGAUGAGUCUGCGUCCGAUUAGCUAGUUGGUGAGGUAACGGCUCACCAAGGCUGUGAUCGGUAGAUGGUCUGAGAGGAUGAUCAUCCGCACUGGAACUGAGACACGGUCCAGACUCCUACGGGAGGCAGCAGUAGGGAAUAUUGGACAAUGGGGGAAACCCUGAUCCAGCAACGCCGCGUGAGUGAUGAAGGCCUUCGGGUCGUAAAGCUCUGUCGCAGGGGACGAAAAAAAUGACGGUACCCUGCAAGAAAGGACCGGCCAACUUCGUGCCAGCAGCCGCGGUAAUACGGGGGGUCCAAGCGUUGUCCGGAAUCACUGGGCGUAAAGCGUGUGUAGGUGGCUCUUCAAGUCGUGUGUGAAAGCCCGGGGCCUAACCCCGGAAGUGCACUCGAUACUGUUAAGCUUGAGUAUCAGAGAGGAUAGUGGAAUUCCAGGUGUAGUGGUGAAAUACGUAGAUAUCUGGAGGAACACCGGUGGCGAAGGCGGCUAUCUGGCUGAAUACUGACACUGAAACACGAAAGCGUGGGGAUCAAACAGGAUUAGAUACCCUGGUAGUCCACGCCGUAAACGAUGAUCACUUGUUGUUGGGAGGUAUUGACCCCUUCAGUGACGUAGCUAACGCGUUAAGUGAUCCGCCUGGGGAAGUACGGUCGCAAGAUUAAAACUCAAAGAAAUUGACGGGGGCCCGCACAAGCGGUGGAGCAAGGUGGUUUAAUUCGAUGCAACGCGCAAAACCUUACCUAGAUUUGA
This 907-nucleotide ribosomal RNA is filed under the name uncultured bacterium. RNAcentral describes it as "bacterial SSU rRNA". It matches the Rfam family "Bacterial small subunit ribosomal RNA", at positions 56 to 984 of the family's 1533-position model. The record is from RNAcentral.